CCUACGGGAGGCAGCAGUGAGGAAUAUUGGGCAAUGGACGAGAGUCUGAACCAGCCAAGUAGCGUGAAGGAUGACUGCCCUAUGGGCGGUAAACUUCUUUUAUAUGGGAAAAAAACGUUCCACGUGUGGGGUUUUGUAUGUACCAUAUGAAUAAGGAUCGGCUAACUCCGUGCCAGCAGCCGCGGUAAUACGGAGGAUCCGAGCGUUAUCCGGAUUUGUUGGGUUUAAAGGGAGCGUAGGUGGAUUGUUAAGGCAGUUGUGAAAGUUUGCGGCUCAACCGUAACAUUGCAGUUGAAACUGGCAGACUUGAGUACAGUAGAGGUGAGCGGAAUUCGUGGUGUAGCGGUGAAAUGCUUAGAUAUCACGAAGAACUCCGAUUGCGAAGGCAGUUCACUGGACUGCAACUGACACUGAGGCUCGAAAGUGUGGGUAUCAAACAGGAUUAGAUACCCUAGUAGUC
This 460-nucleotide ribosomal RNA is filed under the name uncultured bacterium. Its description in RNAcentral is "partial 16S ribosomal RNA". It matches the Rfam family "Bacterial small subunit ribosomal RNA", at positions 338 to 795 of the family's 1533-position model. The record is from RNAcentral.